RNAcentral lists this ribosomal RNA (39 nucleotides) under Apiospora arundinis. Its description in RNAcentral is "Arthrinium arundinis partial 28S ribosomal RNA". The record is from RNAcentral. Lineage: Eukaryota; Fungi; Ascomycota; Sordariomycetes; Amphisphaeriales; Apiosporaceae.
UUGACCUCGGAUCAGGUAGGAAUACCCGCUGAACUUAAC